This 506-nucleotide ribosomal RNA is filed under the name uncultured bacterium. RNAcentral describes it as "partial 16S ribosomal RNA". It matches the Rfam family "Bacterial small subunit ribosomal RNA", at positions 29 to 523 of the family's 1533-position model. The record is from RNAcentral.
AGUGAACGCUGGCGGUAGGCCUAACACAUGCAAGUCGAACGGCAGCACAGGAGAGCUUGCUCUCUGGGUGGCGAGUGGCGGACGGGCGAGGAAUACAUCGGAAUCUACUCUGUCGUGGGGGAUAAAGUAGGGAAACUUACGCUAAUACCGCAUACGACCUUCGGGCGAAAGCAGGGGAUCUUCGGACCUUGCGCGAUUGAACGAGCCGAUGGCGGAUUAGCUAGGUGGCGGGGUAAAGGCCCACCAAGGCGACGAUCCGUAGCUGGUCUGAGAGGAUGAUCAGCCACACUGGAACUGAGACACGGUCCAGACGCCUACGGGGGGCAGCAGUGGGGAAUAUUGGACAAUGGGCGCAAGCCUGAUCCAGCCAUACCGCGUGGGUGAAGAAGGCCUUCGGGUCGUAAAGCCCUUUUGUUGGGAAAGAAAUCCAGCUGGUUAAUACCCGGUUGGGAUGACGGUACCCAAAGAAUAAGCACCGGCUAACUUCGUGCCAGCAGCCGCCGCAG